CCGUUUCAGGGCCUUUGCACUGAGGCCCCCUCCGCAGAUAUCCCCGCCCAUCUACAGGCAGCUGCACUGCUGCUUGCCAUGCCAACCUCAGCGAGACCUUCCGUGAUGAGCCCAGGUAAAGCUCUCCUUCUCCACCCACCACCCCGUCCCCUGAGUUAUUUGCUUCAUAGCAUCCAAGUGUUGUAACUAAAUUCUGACACAAAAGCAGCCACUCUCUUGGUCUUCUUAUCCAGAGCACGCAGAAAAAUCCAAACACAACGUAAUUUGAUGAGAGGAUGAAUAAAUGAAUACGUAAUCGUCAAACUUAACUUCUUUAAAGUAUUAUAAAUGCUUUUCAUUUAAUCCUUAAAAUAACCUAAUAAGUAGGUACUAUUAUUGUUCUAGUUUUACAGAUGAGGAAACUGAGCCCCAAAGAAGUUGAGUAAAGUUGUAAAGUUUGAACCCAGACAGCACGCUUAAUCUAGAAGGUGGUCUCCUCAAAAAAUAAUAACCCUCUUUCCCGGCCAGGUCUGAACAAUUUGAGAAAUAAAACAAAAAAAACGAAAAUGGAGAUCAAAAUACUAUCUUUUUUACUGAUAAAGGCCAGGUUGGAGGACAUGACAUGAGACCUUUUAGGAAAACAGACGUGUUAAAACUGAACCUCUGAUUUGGCAGUCCAGCUCUCUCAGCCCCGGGCAGCACUAUGAAGGGGUCCCGCCCAGGUGGACUUACCGUGAGGAGGGAGCGUACUCAAGUCCUCAGAGAACAGGACAGCCCCAAACCAAGCAGGCCCAGUUAUUCUUCCCAAAUUUACCAAUCAAAUAAGUCAUCCCACCUCCCCAGGGACAGAGUAGAUAACGGGAUACAGAAAGGUCAGGUAUUUCAUCCACUGAGUACCCUUCAGAGGAAGAGAAUGUCAGGAAUGGGGAAAGCAUGCCAUUCUAACAGCCUCAUGAGUACCAGGGAAUGCAUGCAUGCACACACACAUGGGCUUUAAAGCUGUAAAGGAACUCUGGGGAAAAAAGAUAAGAUAAACUAAAAUAAAAAUUGAGAAAACACGAGUGUAAGGCCGUGUGGGAUCCCAGCUCCCGUUGGGCGCCCCCCACUGGCAGCUUGUGGAGCAGAGAGAGUGGUCCCCGCCCAGCCCUGCCCAGAUUCCUGACCUGCAGAAGCAGGAACAGGGAAACGGAUGCUGCUUUGAGCCUCGAAUAUUGUCACACAGCAAUAGGUAACUGAUGCCAGAGCAAAUGGAUGCAGCAUUUCACAGUUUAUUUUUUUAUGAAACUUUUCUCCAUGAAACUACCUAAUAGCCUCUGGGAAAUACUGGUCUAAGUAGUUAAUGUGGUGGACACGUUUAAGUCACAGUGAGGUAACUCUGGAAAAAGUGAUUGCUAUGGUUUCAGAAAUCUCAUCCUUAAAUGACCUAAGUCAGUUUUUCAUUAUCUGUUGUUAGUUUCAAACAAUUUCUAAAAGUUAUUCGUUUGUUCAACAGGUACUUGUUGAGUGCUACAGUAGAUUGUAUUUAGCAAUUGUGUUUAACAAUAGCUCCUAUCCCACUCGGUCUUUGUGCGAUGUGAGUGUGACACUCCUCCCAUCAAGUCUGUGUCCCUUCUCGGAGAAGCUGAGUCAGUCUUUGUGACUUCCAGACAACAGAGUACUGAGAACUGAUGCUUUGUGACUUCUGAUCAUUAAAAUGCUGAGCACUUCUGCCUUGCUGUCUUCAGGGACAUGUUCUUGGAGCCCGUCUGCCAUGUUUUAAGGAAACUCAAACUAGCGCGCUAGAGAGACCAUGUGGAAGGACCAUGCGCAAGUAUCCUGGCUGACAGCCCAACUGAGGUUCUGGUCAACGGCCAGCACCAAUCAACAAACAUGUGAGUGGACACCAGGAGUGGACACCUACUGGUGAUUCUAGUGACUAAUCAAUAUGUAGAUGUUCUGGCUGACAGUCCAGCUAAAGCCCCAUCCAAUAGCCAACAUCACCCACUAGCCAUGUGAGUGAAGGCACCUUCAGAUCAUUGCAGCCCCUAGCCAUUGAGUCACCCCCAGCUUCUUCUCAGAGAUCAUGGAGGCCUCAGAUAUCUGAAGGCCACACGCCAUUCCCUCCAUGUCAAAUUUCUGGUCCAGAGAAUGCAUGAGCAUAAUAAAAUGAUUUUUAUAUUAUUAAAUUUUGAAAGAGUCUGUUAUGCAAUAAUAGAACUUUAACUGGUAGGCACUUGCCCACUGUGUGCAUGGUACUGGGAUCGGUGGGUAGAGAGGAGAAGGAUCUAUCAGACUUCAAGAAACUAAUUAUUUUAACUCUAUCCUCUCACCUAACUAACUUCUGUUCAUCCUUCUCAUGUCAGCUUAAAUAUUCCCUCCUCCAGAAAGUUCACCCUACUAGCCAUCCACUUCCAGACUGUGUUAAGUAGUCCUUCUGUGGCCAAUGGCCCCUGGGCUUACCCCAACAUGGCUUUUACAGGUUUCUCCCUCAACUGAUUCUACUUGUCGAUUCUCCUCUGGUCCACAAGUAGACAGCAAGCUCCUGGAGAGCAGACCCUGCAUCUGUUUCCUAUUAGGCUUCCUGACCCCCAGCUCAACUAAGAUGCAUUUGUCGAAAUUACUCCAUAGUUGUUAAAAAAUGGAGGCACUAUUCAAUAGCCAAAUGAAUUAAUCUGCUUUGUUUCUCCUCAAAUGUCUUACCAGAUGUGAUAUGGAGAUGAAUAUUAUUUUCUUUCCCAAAGAAAGAGUAUAUCUUUUAAAGGAUAUAGCCUAAACUUUGCAGCCAGCCUUACCUCUCACCUCCACCCUCACGCAGCCUGUGCUCAGCCAUGUCAGACUCUGCACCCUUCUUCCACUAUCUCAUCCCUUGGCAUGGUGCCUUCUCUUCCACUGCCAGGAAUUCUUCUCUUCUUCCCCUCUAUCUGAAAAACUUAUAUGAUCUUUUUUCAAGAUGUAAAUCACGUUACCUCCUUUGGUAAUGUCUACCAAUGUUAAGGACAGGAUUUUUUUCGUUCUCUUUUCCCACUCCAUAGCAUUUUAUAUUUACCUCUGUUACUGUAAUAUGUUCACUGUAAUUACUUGUGUAAACUUGAUUAUCAUAUUCGGGUUCCACUCUGCCCUUUCUGUUCUCCGACAAGCUCCCCCUGAAACCCCUGGGGGACAAAGAACUCCAGAUACCCUCUGUUUCACUGGCUGCGCUGUUGUGCUCCUAUGGGCCAAGACAUCGUAGAGAACUACUUUUGAUACUGAUCCUUUGUUCAGCUCCUUGGGCACAUGUCUGUGGGAGUGGGCAAAAAUGAAAAGUUGAGUGACAUGCACAAAUUCUUCCCAUUUUCUUCCACAAUGUGCUUUUUUUUUAUGAUUGGCACCUGAGCGAACAACUGUUGCCAAUCUUCUGGGGUUUUUUUCUGCUUUUUUCUCCCCAAAUCCCCCAGUACAUAGCUGUAUAUUCUAGUUGUGGGUCCCUCUAGUUAUGGCAUGUGGGAUGCCGCCUCAGCAUGGCCUGAUGAGCAGUGCCAUGUCCGCACCCAGGAUCCGAACCAGCAAAACACUGGGCCACCAAGGCGGAGUGCGCGAACUCAACCACCUGGCCACGGGGUCGGCCCCAGUGUGCCAGGAGAUUCUUCUAUCCCCUUGUAGGUGAUUACCCUAUGCCAAAGCAAUUCCC
This 3625-nucleotide long non-coding RNA is filed under the name Equus caballus (horse). RNAcentral's name for it is "lncRNA (ENSECAG00000048089.1)". The record is from RNAcentral. Lineage: Eukaryota; Metazoa; Chordata; Mammalia; Perissodactyla; Equidae.